GAUGAACGCUGGCGGCGUGCCUAAUACAUGCAAGUCGAGCGAACAGACGAGGAGCUUGCUCCUCUGACGUUAGCGGCGGACGGGUGAGUAACACGUGGAUAACCUACCUAUAAGACUGGGAUAACUUCGGGAAACCGGAGCUAAUACCGGAUAAUAUAUUGAACCGCAUUGUUCAAUAGUGAAAGACGGUUUUGCUGUCACUUAUAGAUGGAUCCGCGCCGCAUUAGCUAGUUGGUAAGGUAACGGCUUACCAAGGCAACGAUGCGUAGCCGACCUGAGAGACUGGUCGGCGACACUGGAGCGGAGACGCGGUCCAGACUCCUGCGGGAGGCAGCAGUAGGGAAUCUGCCGCAAUGGGCGAAAGCCUGACGGAGCGACGCCGCGUGAGUGAUAAAGGUCUUCGGAUCGUAAAACUCUGUUAUGAGGGAAGAACAAAUGUGUAAGUAACUAUGCACGUCUUGACGGUAACUAAUCAGAAAGCCACGGCUAACUACGUG
Molecule: ribosomal RNA, 497 nt
Filed under: uncultured bacterium
Lineage: Bacteria
Description: partial 16S ribosomal RNA
Rfam family: Bacterial small subunit ribosomal RNA
Source: RNAcentral